RNAcentral lists this small nuclear RNA (332 nucleotides) under Microtus ochrogaster (prairie vole). Its description in RNAcentral is "7SK RNA (ENSMOCG00000010039.1)". It matches the Rfam family "7SK RNA". Rfam says of the family: 7SK was discovered as an abundant small nuclear RNA in the mid-70s but a possible function has only recently been suggested. The record is from RNAcentral. Lineage: Eukaryota; Metazoa; Chordata; Mammalia; Rodentia; Cricetidae.
UGCUGGGUGAUCUGGCUGUGACAUCUGUCACCCCAUUGAUCGCCAGGGUUGAUUCAGUUGAUCUGGCUGGCUAGGCAGGUGUCACCUUCCUCCCUCACCACUCCAUGUGUGUCGCUCCUGAAGCUGCAUGCUGGGUCGAAGAGGACGACCUUCCCCGAAUAGAGGAGGACUGGUCUUCCAUCAAGGGUAUACGAGGAGCUGAGCUCCCCUGCUAGAACCUCCAAACAAGCUCUCAAGGUCUAAUUGGAGUUCUUUUUUUUUUUUAUUUUUGAGAUUAUGUUGGUGGAGGCCUCUUGUUUCAUUCCCAGCUGCUCAGGCCCAAAAGCCACAGC